GGGCUGGUCGUCUAGCCUGGUUAGGACGUCGCCCUGACACGGCGAAGGUCGGAGGUUCAAAUCCUCUCCAGCCCA
Molecule: transfer RNA, 75 nt
Filed under: Candidatus Bathyarchaeota archaeon
Lineage: Archaea; Thermoproteati; Candidatus Bathyarchaeota
Description: tRNA-Val
Rfam family: tRNA
About the family: Transfer RNA (tRNA) molecules are approximately 80 nucleotides in length. Their secondary structure includes four short double-helical elements and three loops (D, anti-codon, and T loops).
Source: RNAcentral